UACCAGGGAAGCCGAAAGAUAUUUAAAAUUACUAAAGGCAUAUUGGGUGUAGAGGAAGAACCAAAGGAGAUUAUUUAGGAACACCUAGCAGCCAUGGCAACAUAGAAGGGGCACGUACUCUGCUGAAAAAAUAUUCCACUUAACAGAUUAUUUGCUCAUAAAAUCAGGAAUUCAGACUUCAGAGAUGAAAUGAUUUCACUUGGAAGAAAAAAGAAAACAAUUGUAAGAAAUCAGAAUUACUUUUAAAUAUGCUAAAUUUAAGUUGAAGUGCAGCAAAUCCUUUCACGUAGGGU
Molecule: long non-coding RNA, 293 nt
Filed under: Sus scrofa (pig)
Lineage: Eukaryota; Metazoa; Chordata; Mammalia; Artiodactyla; Suidae
Description: lncRNA (ENSSSCG00035056360.1)
Source: RNAcentral